CCGAAAGAGCACCACCCAUAACCACCUGAUUGCAAGCCUGAACGAUAGAACCUCUCACUCUCAGGAAUCUCAGGUAGGACCCGAGGUAUGCCCUGACCCUGACCAUACAACCCGCCCUCUACUAGGGCACCCCACAUAAUUUUGGAAAGGAACAGAGAAAGGAUCCCACACUAGGUGGGUAUAGAAGGGAGGCAGACACACCGCAGGGAGACCUAGAACAUAAAUGGUUUCAAUGGGAAAAAGGUCUAUUGUACCGGGUGACUAGAGGAACCGGGAUAGGGAUUGCCCAAAUACCAAAAAGGCAGCUAAUUGUACCAUGAAGAUCAGCCACGAUAUCCC
This is a non-coding RNA of Pelobates cultripes (western spadefoot toad), 339 nucleotides long. The record is from the annotation of a GenBank genome assembly. Lineage: Eukaryota; Metazoa; Chordata; Amphibia; Anura; Pelobatidae.